RNAcentral lists this long non-coding RNA (5305 nucleotides) under Vigna radiata. RNAcentral's name for it is "long non-coding RNA (VRAD_LNC009450)". Lineage: Eukaryota; Viridiplantae; Streptophyta; Magnoliopsida; Fabales; Fabaceae. The record is from RNAcentral.
GAAUAACCGAGUGUUUUUGGUUUUUAAAGGACACAAUGAUGAUGGAGCUUCAUUCAAAUGGUAAAACCAUUAAGGACAUUGAAGAGGUUCUGCGUAAGAUUCCCUUGCACCCAAGAGUAAUACCUGCUAUUAAGGCAGCUCAUGCUUUAGGGUACGUAACUAUGCAUCUCUUAAUACAGAAUUCUGUUUAUUUAAUGCUCUUUUUUUUAUGGUAAAUGUGAUUUGUGGAUUAAAUUUACAGUGACAUUUGUUUUUUCAGGUGUGAUUUGAGGAUUGUGAGUGAUGCAAACACGUUUUUCAUUGAGACUAUUUUGAAGCAUUUGGGAAUUAGAGAAUAUUUCUCAGAAAUCAAUACUAACCCCGGUUAUGUGAAUGAAGAAGGAAGGUUAAGGAUUCUGCCUUACCAUGACUUCAACAAAGCUUCCCAUGGCUGCAAUUUGUGCCCUCCAAACAUGUGCAAGGUAAAUAAAUACAGAAGCUGUUUUUCUAUGAUCAAAGAUUUGUUCUUCUUAGUCACCUGUUUGAUUGGUCAAAAUCAUGUUGAAAAUUUAAACUUUCGUCUUUCCUUAAAUGUUUAUAGCAGUUGGCAACAACUCACGUUUUUAGAUAUUGUUUUGUUAAUUGUUCUAGCUUAUGGGACAGUACUAUUUCUAUUUUUAAUCAUAAAGAUGGCUGCUAACGUGACUCAACGUGUUCGUGAGUCAUGAAUUGAUCCUAUAACAAUGGAAUGUGUUUCCUGAUUUCUUGGCCUUAAAAAAUACUUAUAAUUUUCCUGGUUUUGUCUCUGGUAUGAGCCCACAGGAUUUGAUUGAAAUACAAAAUAAGGAUUAGUUUUGACCUAGGCCCCACCAAUAGUUCCAGAGAAAUACAAAAUUAUGAAAUGUUGGGUUGAAGCUUCUUAUGCUGAUUGAGAAGGUUCUUGUAAUUUGAAAUCAUGUUGAAUUAUGAAAGAUUGAAAAAUGUAAUUUAUUGUGAAUGAUUGCAGGGUUUAGUGAUAGAGAGAAUUGAAGAUUCAAUAUCAGAAGAGGAUAAGAGAUUGAUCUAUCUUGGAGAUGGAAGUGGAGACUAUUGUCCAAGUUUGAGGUUGAAAGACAAGGACUUUAUGAUGCCAAGGAAGAACUUUCCGGUGUGGGAUUUGAUAUGCAGAGAUCCUUCACUUGUUAAGGCUGAGAUUCAUGGGUGGAGUGAUGGUGAAGAACUUGAACAAGUUUUGCUGCACUUGAUCAACAAAAUAUCAAUGGAGCAAAAUUCUACCUUCAUUUCAUCUGAUUGCAAGCUUCAGACUCUGUCAGUCUCUGCUUUGGAGGCUUUGCCCAAAGUUCUACCAGUUCGGCCAUAAACAGUUCUUAGCUUAGUUUAUAAGAAAAAUGUAUCAUAAUAACUUUAAGGUUUUUUGUUUUUUCUUUGAUUAACCUUCUCCAAAGCUCACUAAAGUUGCUAAUGUUGGAACUGGUCUAAGAUGUGGACCACUAUAAUUUCUAUCAAAUACCAAUAUCUGUUUUCUACACAUUUUUUAGGAUUUUUUUUAUGCUUUAAAUAUGAAAAAUGAUAUUUUUACCUAUAAAUCUUUUAUAUUAAUUUUUGUUAUUUUUUUAAAAAUAUAAAAAUUUAAUUUUUCAUAAUCAUUUUAUUAUAAUAAUGUGUGUGAAAUAAAUAUAAAUAUAAAUAUGUGUUAAUUUUUAUUAUUGAAAACAUUUGAUUAGAAUCAUGAUUAUAAAUAAAUAUGGUUUCAUUUUUCUUCAACCUCAAGCUGCUUGAUUUGUCGUUCCUCUUCAACCUCUGAAUCAAUCUCAAGCUUCUUCAAAAAUGGCGAAGUUAGUAUGUAACAUGCAUCCCACACUUGGAAUCGAUUAUCUCUGUUUUGGAAUCGAUUACUUCAUUUAUGAUAAAAAGAUUUUUUACCAUUUUGACUUUUGUUUAAGGUCAUAAAUAAGUUUUACACUUUUAUUACAACAAAUCCAGACAAAUCUUUAAAUAGUGAGAUAUGAUAGAAUCUUACAAAUCAUCUAUUUUUCUUUUAUUUUUUUCAAAAUUCAUCAAAACGAACACGAGUAAAAUCCAAAAUCAAUCUUAGCAGAUAUUCUUCUACACGAUGUCCGCCUCAACCAAACACAAUGUAAAAAAUAUCUUUAAGGUAAUUUUUAUAAAAUAAAACUUAGUAUAUUAGUUUUCUAUUUAAUGAUAAAUUAAUCAAUAUUAAUAUCAUCUUCGCAUCUUCUCUUCUCCUACUCUUAAAUAUAUUUUAGAUUAUUAUAUUUUUACUAGUGUACAUGUACUUAUAUUAAUUAUGACAGUUCAAUUUCAAAAUAAAUAGAUUUUUUCCCUUUUAACUUUACAAUUAAUGUUUUUGCUUCAAACUUCAGUCAAUGAUUAAUAUCAUGUCACUUUUUUCCUUCUCUUUGUCUUUUUCUUUUUUAAAUUUUAUAUUUGAGUCUUCAUUUUUCCUAUUUUCACUAUUCUUCUUCAAGAAUCAACAGUGAUCAAAAGAGAAAGAUUGUUUAUGCAUUUAACUACAAUUCAUGAAUAGUGUUUGUGAAAUUGUAAGCUAUUUUAGAUAAUUUUAUAAACUAUUUUUUUAGAUAAAAGUUAAAUAAAUUAACACAGUUUUUAUUUUUUUAAUAAAGUAAUUACUAUUUUUUUUUGUCAAAUCCUGUAUUAGUCCGAAUUAAUUGACGAGGGACAAACAAUAAUUACAAUACUAGAAAAACACAAAAGACAUUUAAUGAACCGUAAAUUAAAUUUAAAAAUAAAUUGCCUGAAUUUAUUACAUUACGUUACUGGAAUAGAUUAUACUUAGAAUAUUCUCAUGAUUUUUGAUGGAGCAGCCUCUUUCAUAGUCACAUAAAAUGCAUCCAAUUCCCUAAUGGAAUAUUCCUUCAUUCCCAGGUUUAUUCUCAAUCUUCUGAUCACCUAAUAUUCCUCAGAAUCAAACGGUUUAGAUUGAAUUUGAAAUGCCACCACUAGAAAUUUCUCUAGGCUAAAAUGAAGCUUUUUUAGGUUUUGAAAUUUCCAUGGCCACCUUCUCUUCCAGGAACUAUCCCUAUACCAAGUAAUAUUCCUUUGGAAUCAAAGAUUCUGGUUGGAUUUUAGGUUUAGCCUUAACCCACAUUUCCCUAUAAAUACUCUUUUUAUUCUCUUUUAUUACAACCAAGCCAAAAACCGAUCUUGGAAAACCCCCAUUAGAGCCUUGUUAUUGAGAAGAAAGUUUGUUCUUCUGGGCCAUUCAGAUUUUCUCCAUUUUCAAAACAAAAAUGUCUGGAAUUGUGGUUGUUUUCGACUUUGACAAGACCAUUGUCGAUGUUGACAGCGACAACUGGGUCAUCGACGAAUUGGGUUUCACAGAUUUGUUCAACCAACUCCUUCCCACGAUGCCUUGGAACACUCUCAUGGUAAGCCUUUGUAGUCACAUGUUCACUUCUUUUUCAUGAACAAAAUUUACAUGCUUUUGCUAACUAUAUGAAAGUUUCAUUUUCCAUUUUUGGUUGAAAAGAUUUGCAUUAAAGAUCAACAUACAUUGUCCUUUAAUGCGUCAAUUCAACCCAUAAUAGUUAAAAUAUAUCUAAGAAUUACAUCUGAUUUUUCUAUUCCUCUUUACACUUAUUUCCUACCUUUUUUUUGUAUAUUUUUUAAUUUUCCUUAAUUCUGUAUGAAUAACGAAGUUCUUUUGUGUUUUUGUUUUGGAUUUAUAGGACAAGAUGAUGAUGGAGCUUCACACACACGGUAAAACCAUUAAGGAUAUUGAAGAGGUUCUGCAUAAGAUUCCAUUGAACCCCAGAGUAGUACCAGCUGUUAAAGCAGCUCAUUCUUUAGGGUGAGUAACUAUGCAUGUAUUUUCACAAGAACAAAUUCUGAUUCUGUGUUUUUUCUUUUUUUAAUUUGAUUUUUGUGGAUUAAAUCUAUGGUGGCAUUUGUUUUCCCAGGUGUGAUUUGAGGAUUGUGAGUGAUGCAAACAUGUUUUUCAUUGAGUCAAUUUUGAAGCACUUAGGAAUAAGGGAAUAUUUCUCAGAGAUCAAUACUAACCCCAGUUAUGUGAAUGAAGAAGGAAGGUUAAGGAUUCUACCUUACCAUGAUUUCAACAAAGCUUCUCAUGGCUGUAGUUUGUGUCCUCCAAACAUGUGUAAGGUAAAUAUAAAUGUCAUUUUUCAUCCACUACCUUAUUUUUUCUCUGUUAAAAGAUAACUUUCUUUGAAAUAAUACCUUAUUUUUCUUUGCUAAAAGAUAGCUUUUCUUGAAAUAGUGUGGACCCUUCAUUCAUUUAUCAAAAAUCAUGGUGAGAAUUGAAAUUUUACUGAGUUUGAAAAACCUUGUUUAAAAACUCAAAACUACUAUUUGUAUAAACAGUUGGCAACUAUACACAUUUCCUGAUACUGUAUCCAAGUUGAUGUUAACUGGCUCUAGUUUCUGGGAAAAAUAUUAUUUUAUAUUUUUAAUCAUGUUGACAAGUGCUAACUGUGGAGUGCUGUCUCCUGAUUUCUUGGCCUUAAAAAAUACCAAAAAUUUUCUUAACCAAGCAACCAUGCCUUUCUGGUUUUGUCUCUGGUAUGAGCCCACAGGAUUUGAUUGAAAUACAAAAUAAGGAUUAGUUUUGACCUAGGCCCCACCAAUAGUUCCAGACAAAUACAAAAUUAUGAAAUGUUGGGUUGAAGCUUCUUAUGCUGACUGAGAAGGUUCUUGUAAUUUGAAAUCAUGUUGAAUUAUGAAAGAUUGAAAAAUGUAAUUUUGUGUGAAUGAUUGCAGGGUUUAGUGAUAGAGAGAAUUGAAGAUUCAAUAUCAGAAGAGGAUAAGAGAUUGAUCUAUCUUGGAGAUGGAAGUGGAGACUAUUGUCCAAGUUUGAGGUUGAAAGAGAAGGACUUUAUGAUGCCAAGGAAGAAUUUUCCGGUGUGGGAUUUGAUAUGCAGAGAUCCGUCACUUGUUAAGGCUGAGAUUCAUGGGUGGAGUGAUGGAGAAGAACUUGAACAAGUUUUGCUGUAUUUGAUCAACAAAGUAUCAAUGGAGCAAAAUUCUUCCUUCAUUUCAUCUGAUUGUAAGCUUCAGACUCUGUCAGUCUCUGCUCAUGAGGCUUUGCCCAAAGUUCUACCAGUUCGACCAUAGUUUCAUGGUUUUGUAACUUUUGUAAUGUAUCAUAAUUCGAUUUUGAUUAUUAACAACCUUAAUUAAACCUUGACUCUUUCCAAAUGUUGGAAAUGGUGGUGGACACCUAUCAAAUACAAACAUUGGUUUGCCCAAUUUCCUUGCAGACUGCAUAUUUUUAUGGGCUAGACAAUGGUUUUCCAUGGAAAAUAUUUUAUUAUAUUUUAAAACAUCA